UUUAUAUGAGAGUUUGAUCCUGGCUCAGGAUGAACGCCGGCGGUGUGCCUAAUACAUGCAAGUCGAACGCGUUGGCCCAAUUGAUUGAUGGUGCUUGCACCUGAUUGAUUUUGGUCGCCAACGAGUGGCGGACGGGUGAGUAACACGUAGGUAACCUACCCAGAAGCGGGGGACAACAUUUGGAAACAGAUGCUAAUACCGCAUAACAACGUUGUUCGCAUGAACAACGCUUAAAAGAUGGCUUCUCGCUAUCACUUCUGGAUGGACCUGCGGUGCAUUAGCUUGUUGGUGGGGUAACGGCCUACCAAGGCGAUGAUGCAUAGCCGAGUUGAGAGACUGAUCGGCCACAAUGGGACUGAGACACGGCCC
RNAcentral lists this ribosomal RNA (369 nucleotides) under Limosilactobacillus fermentum. RNAcentral describes it as "bacterial SSU rRNA". It matches the Rfam family "Bacterial small subunit ribosomal RNA", at positions 1 to 332 of the family's 1533-position model. Lineage: Bacteria; Bacillati; Bacillota; Bacilli; Lactobacillales; Lactobacillaceae. The record is from RNAcentral.